UUGUCUUUUAAAGGAAGACCCGUAUGAAUGGCAUAACGAAGGCUUAACUGUCUCCUUUUUCAAGUCAAUGAAAUUGAUCUCCCCGUGCAGAAGCGGGGAUAUAUACCUAAGACGAGAAGACCCUGUGGAGCUUUAGACACAAAGCAGAUCUGGCCAAAACCCACACAACCCAAGCUAAAAGAAUCCUGCUCCCAUGUCUUCGGUUGGGGCGACCACGGGGAAACAAAUAACCCCCACGCAGAACAAGAGCACACCCUCUUAAAAACGAGAGUCACCACUCCAAAAAACAGAACCUCUGACUAUAAGAUCCGGUAAUACCGAUCAACGGACCAAGUUACCCCAGGGAUAACAGCGCAAUCCCCUUUAAGAGCCCAUAUCGACAAGGGGGUUUACGACCUCGAUGUUGGAUCAGGACAUCCUAAUGGUGCAGCCGCUAUUAAGGGUUCGUUUGUUCAACGAUUAAAGUCCUACGUGAUCUGAGUUCAGACCGAUGGAUCAGCGCGGAUU
RNAcentral lists this ribosomal RNA (507 nucleotides) under Macrognathus aral (one-stripe spinyeel). RNAcentral describes it as "partial large subunit ribosomal RNA". It matches the Rfam family "Bacterial large subunit ribosomal RNA", at positions 1969 to 2637 of the family's 2925-position model. The record is from RNAcentral. Lineage: Eukaryota; Metazoa; Chordata; Actinopteri; Synbranchiformes; Mastacembelidae.